Molecule: ribosomal RNA, 468 nt
Filed under: uncultured bacterium
Lineage: Bacteria
Description: partial 16S ribosomal RNA
Rfam family: Bacterial small subunit ribosomal RNA
Source: RNAcentral
GACGAACGCUGGCGGCGUGCUUAACACAUGCAAGUCGAACGGAAAGGCCCUGCUUUUGUUGGGUGCUCGAGUGGCGAACGGGUGAGUAACACGUGUGUAACCUGCCCUUGACUUUGGGAUAACUUCAGGAAACUGGGGCUAAUACCGGAUAGGAGCUCCUGCUGCAUGGUGGGCGUUGGAAAGUUUCGGCGGUUGGGGAUGGACUCGCGGCUUAUCCGCUUGUUGGUCGGGUAGUUGCUUACCAAGGCUUUCACGGGUAGCCGGCCUGGGAGGGGGACCGGCCACAUUGGGACUGAGAUACGGCGCAGACGCCUACGGGAGGCAGCAGUGGGGAAUAUUGCACAAUGGGCGGAAGCCUGAUGCAGCAACGCCGCGUGCGGGAUGACGGCCUUCGGGUUGUAAACCGCUGUCGCCGGUGACGAAGCGUGAGUGACGGUAAUGGGUAAAGAAGCACCGGCUAACUACGUG